GGUUAAGCGACUAAGCGUACACGGUGGAUGCCCUGGCAGUCAGAGGCGAUGAAGGACGUGCUAAUCUGCGAUAAGCGUCGGUGAGGUGAUAUGAACCGUUAUAACCGGCGAUUUCCGAAUGGGGAAACCCAGUGUGUUUCGACACACUAUCAUUAACUGAAUCCAUAGGUUAAUGAGGCGAACCGGGGGAACUGAAACAUCUAAGUACCCCGAGGAAAAGAAAUCAACCGAGAUUCCCCCAGUAGCGGCGAGCGAACGGGGAGGAGCCCAGAGCCUGAAUCAGUGUGUGUGUUAGUGGAAGCGUCUGGAAAGGCGCGCGAUACAGGGUGACAGCCCCGUACACAAAAAUGCACAUAUUGUGAGCUCGAUGAGUAGGGCGGGACACGUGGUAUCCUGUCUGAAUAUGGGGGGACCAUCCUCCAAGGCUAAAUACUCCUGACUGACCGAUAGUGAACCAGUACCGUGAGGGAAAGGCGAAAAGAACCCCGGCGAGGGGAGUGAAAAAGAACCUGAAACCGUGUACGUACAAGCAGUGGGAGCCUCUUAAUGGGGUGACUGCGUACCUUUUGUAUAAUGGGUCAGCGACUUAUAUUCUGUAGCAAGGUUAACCGAAUAGGGGAGCCGAAGGGAAACCGAGUCUUAACUGGGCGUUAAGUUGCAGGGUAUAGACCCGAAACCCGGUGAUCUAGCCAUGGGCAGGUUGAAGGUUGGGUAACACUAACUGGAGGACCGAACCGACUAAUGUUGAAAAAUUAGCGGAUGACUUGUGGCUGGGGGUGAAAGGCCAAUCAAACCGGGAGAUAGCUGGUUCUCCCCGAAAGCUAUUUAGGUAGCGCCUCGUGAAUUCAUCUCCGGGGGUAGAGCACUGUUUCGGCAAGGGGGUCAUCCCGACUUACCAACCCGAUGCAAACUGCGAAUACCGGAGAAUGUUAUCACGGGAGACACACGGCGGGUGCUAACGUCCGUCGUGAAGAGGGAAACAACCCAGACCGCCAGCUAAGGUCCCAAAGUCAUGGUUAAGUGGGAAACGAUGUGGGAAGGCCCAGACAGCCAGGAUGUUGGCUUAGAAGCAGCCAUCAUUUAAAGAAAGCGUAAUAGCUCACUGGUCGAGUCGGCCUGCGCGGAAGAUGUAACGGGGCUAAACCAUGCACCGAAGCUGCGGCAGCGACGCUUAUGCGUUGUUGGGUAGGGGAGCGUUCUGUAAGCCUGUGAAGGUGUGCUGUGAGGCAUGCUGGAGGUAUCAGAAGUGCGAAUGCUGACAUAAGUAACGAUAAAGCGGGUGAAAAGCCCGCUCGCCGGAAGACCAAGGGUUCCUGUCCAACGUUAAUCGGGGCAGGGUGAGUCGACCCCUAAGGCGAGGCCGAAAGGCGUAGUCGAUGGGAAACAGGUUAAUAUUCCUGUACUUGGUGUUACUGCGAAGGGGGGACGGAGAAGGCUAUGUUGGCCGGGCGACGGUUGUCCCGGUUUAAGCGUGUAGGCUGGUUUUCCAGGCAAAUCCGGAAAACCAAGGCUGAGGCGUGAUGACGAGGCACUACGGUGCUGAAGCAACAAAUGCCCUGCUUCCAGGAAAAGCCUCUAAGCAUCAGGUAACAUCAAAUCGUACCCCAAACCGACACAGGUGGUCAGGUAGAGAAUACCAAGGCGCUUGAGAGAACUCGGGUGAAGGAACUAGGCAAAAUGGUGCCGUAACUUCGGGAGAAGGCACGCUGAUAUGUAGGUGAAGCGACUAGCUCGUGGAGCUGAAAUCAGUCGAAGAUACCAGCUGGCUGCAACUGUUUAUUAAAAACACAGCACUGUGCAAACACGAAAGUGGACGUAUACGGUGUGACGCCUGCCCGGUGCCGGAAGGUUAAUUGAUGGGGUUAGCGGUAACGCGAAGCUCUUGAUCGAAGCCCCGGUAAACGGCGGCCGUAACUAUAACGGUCCUAAGGUAGCGAAAUUCCUUGUCGGGUAAGUUCCGACCUGCACGAAUGGCGUAAUGAUGGCCAGGCUGUCUCCACCCGAGACUCAGUGAAAUUGAACUCGCUGUGAAGAUGCAGUGUACCCGCGGCAAGACGGAAAGACCCCGUGAACCUUUACUAUAGCUUGACACUGAACAUUGAGCCUUGAUGUGUAGGAUAGGUGGGAGGCUUUGA
RNAcentral lists this ribosomal RNA (2135 nucleotides) under Escherichia coli. RNAcentral describes it as "partial 23S ribosomal RNA". It matches the Rfam family "Bacterial large subunit ribosomal RNA", at positions 1 to 2160 of the family's 2925-position model. Lineage: Bacteria; Pseudomonadati; Pseudomonadota; Gammaproteobacteria; Enterobacterales; Enterobacteriaceae. The record is from RNAcentral.